CCUACGGGAGGCAGCAGUAAGGAAUCUUCCGCAAUGGGCGAAAGCCUGACGGAGCAACGCCGCGUGGGCGAUGAAGGCCUUCGGGUCGUAAAGCCCUUUUCUGUGGGACGAUAAUGACGGUACCACAGGAAUAAGCCACGGCUAACUACGUGCCAGCAGCCGCGGUAAUACGUAGGUGGCUAGCGUUAUCCGGAUUCACUGGGCGUAAAGAGCGCGUAGGCGGUGUGCUAAGUUGGACGUGAAAGCCCCCGGCUUAACCGGGGGAGGGCGUCCAAUACUGGUGCACUUGAGGGUGGACGGGGAAAGCGGAAUUCCCGGUGUAGUGGUGAAAUGCGUAGAUAUCGGGAGGAACACCAGUGGCGAAGGCGGCGCCCGGGCCGACACUGGACGCUGAAGCGCGAAAGCGUGGGGAGCGAACGGGAUUAGAUACCCCUGUAGU
RNAcentral lists this ribosomal RNA (439 nucleotides) under uncultured bacterium. Its description in RNAcentral is "partial 16S ribosomal RNA". It matches the Rfam family "Bacterial small subunit ribosomal RNA", at positions 338 to 794 of the family's 1533-position model. The record is from RNAcentral.